This is a long non-coding RNA of Struthio camelus australis, 2000 nucleotides long. Lineage: Eukaryota; Metazoa; Chordata; Aves; Struthioniformes; Struthionidae. The record is from Ensembl.
AUGCAAAAUAUUUUUCAUUGGCUGUCACAGGAUGUGAAAAUAGAUGCUGAAAGUUCUAAUAUACAAAUGACUGCUCCCUCUUCCAGCUGGCAAACUCAAAGCAGCUUUUUGUCCAGCCCACUGCUUUCAGAUUCAGGUUCUUUUAUGAAAAAAAUGGUUCCUUUUGAUAGAAGUGCCACCAAGGAAGAUCACGUUAAUGCUGCUGUCAGUGAAAUGAAGUUGCAAGCAGAAAGAGGGAAACAGUAGAAUGCUUUACAAAAACACAUCAGCUUUCCCUGUGGUGAAUUCAAUUCCAUUCUUUUGUUUUAGAAUAGUAGUAAUUCUAUCUGCUUGUAGGAGUGACAAACCUUUAGUUAUUCAGCUAUUGCCAAAAACUUAACUGAAAGCAUCAAGAAUGAGACUAACAAACUCUGGUGAUAUUGUACAUAACUUGUAUGCCAAAGGUUUUCUAGGAUUAUGCUCUAUUCUCUUGCAUUUGUUUCUGUGGUCCUCCUAGUCUAAAUUCGUUUUAUACCUGAAAUAUUACUAGGUGAAAGAACCGUGACAUUAAUCUUUUCUAUACGCUUAUUUGCACCUGCACAGAAAUUCUAUGGACAUGUUCUUUAAUAACAUUUAAUAAGGUUGUUAAUGAUCAAAGCAUUCAAGAAAUACUUUGGUCCUAAUAUUUAUUGUGAGAGCUAUUGUACUGUUUUAUACAGACACAUAUUUAUGAUUUUAGAUUUUUCAGUUUAAAACCAUCAUUUAACAGGUCAUUAGAAAGAAGUGAUAAUUAUUAAACAAAUCCACAUUUCUUCAAAAUUGGCAGGAAUUCAUAUAAUGGUUUCAGCAUCAGCAUAUCUUUAUUAUUAACUAUUUGAAGUUAUUAUUCUUGCCAGAAUAUACAGUAUCUUAUCAAGUAGCAUGGCAAAUUUUACCUUAUGUGACCUCCAGUAAGGCACUUAACUAGUUUCUUCAUCAGGACCUAUUGACCCCAUCUAUAUUAAGCACUUUGAAGGGCAGUGCUUUCUGGUUGUAAAAAUUUUAAUAGCAGGGUGUGAUGAUCAUUUAUUUAUUCUAUUUUAUUCUUUUUUUAAAAAAGUUUAGACAUGUCAUAUUAAUUUUAAAAUGUUAUGGAAAUACAACAGUGCACUGUUGUAUGAGGCCUGAUGGCUCUGUUCCAAACAAAUUUGAUACGUAUCGAUAUCACUGUGGUCUCAAACAGCACAUCACAGCAGAAUCUUCUUCUACUGCACAUGAAAUGUCAGUGUUUCUGAGGGUCCUGGUUUAAUACUCCUACCUUUAGUGCUUCUGGUCGAGUGACCACUGAUGUGCUUUAAAAAUUUGGCCAAACCUGUCAGAGUACAGGCAACACAAACACCAGUGGAACAAUUCUGUUUUGUCAGCUUCUUUAAUAUUAGGGAGCCUACACCUUCUGAAACACUGUGUCUUUUUUUAUAUUAUUAUUAUUAUUCUUAAAGCACUGUAGGUCUGUUCGUUGUAAUUCCCGGGUCAUUAUGUGCCACCUAAAAAUGGGACUUUUUUUCCUACUGAAGAAGUAUUCUGCAAUCCCUUAAAUUCAGUAGACAGUGGACUUAGUUGAUAGAAUUCUCUUGUAUCCAGCCUGUUUCAAACACAACUUUUUGCUAAGAACUUCAAAAUCAGAAAAGGAAAUGGAAAAAACUUGACUGGAUUUCGUUUGCAUUUUCUAUGCACUUAAAUUACUUGAUUGUAUAAAAACAGUUAUUCACAGUUUUUCAGCUAGUCACAAUUUUUCUAUUUUGGUUUUAAAUGUUUUCUUUACCUUCUGUAUGUGUAUAAUGCUAUGCAUUGUAGUGCUGGCACUGGCUUUUUGCGAACUGCUGGCACAUCUGCUAAUUCAGAAGGUCAGGAAAGCAAAACAGGAACAUCCAUCUCUUCUGAUCUGAGCGGUAAUGACAGGGCCAGAACAAAAACAUAAACAAAUAAUCAUCUAAAGUGGAGAAGGCCGGACAAAUAAAAACAUAUUUGUGUCACGAUGUACA